GACGAACGCUGGCGGCGUGCUUAACACAUGCAAGUCGAACGGAAAGGCCCUGCUUUUGUGGGGUGCUCGAGUGGCGAACGGGUGAGUAACACGUGAGUAACCUGCCCUUGACUUUGGGAUAACUUCAGGAAACUGGGGCUAAUACCGGAUAGGAGCUCCUGCUGCAUGGUGGGGGUUGGAAAGUUUCGGCGGUUGGGGAUGGACUCGCGGCUUAUCAGCUUGUUGGUGGGGUAGUGGCUUACCAAGGCUUUGACGGGUAGCCGGCCUGAGAGGGUGACCGGCCACAUGGGGACUGAGGUACGGCCCAGACUCCUACGGGAGGCAGCAGUGGGGAAUAUUGCACAAUAGGCGGAAGCCUGAUGCAGCAACGCCGCGUGCGGGAUGACGGCCUUCGGGUUGUAAACCGCUUUCGCCUGUGACGAAGCGUGAGUGACGGUAAUGGGUAAAGAAGCACCGGCUAACUACGUG
This 468-nucleotide ribosomal RNA is filed under the name uncultured bacterium. Its description in RNAcentral is "partial 16S ribosomal RNA". It matches the Rfam family "Bacterial small subunit ribosomal RNA", at positions 28 to 507 of the family's 1533-position model. The record is from RNAcentral.